UACGGAGGGGGCUAGCGUUGUUCGGAAUUACUGGGCGUAAAGGGUGCGUAGGCGGGUCUUUAAGUCAGGGGUGAAAUCCUGGAGCUCAACUCCAGAACUGCCUUUGAUACUGAAGAUCUUGAGUUCGGGAGAGGUGAGUGGAACUGCGAGUGUAGAGGUGAAAUUCGUAGAUAUUCGCAAGAACACCAGUGGCGAAGGCGGCUCACUGGCCCGAUACUGACGCUGAGGCACGAAAGCGUGGGGAGCAAACAGG
Molecule: ribosomal RNA, 253 nt
Filed under: uncultured bacterium
Lineage: Bacteria
Description: partial 16S ribosomal RNA
Rfam family: Bacterial small subunit ribosomal RNA
Source: RNAcentral